UGCGCCUGCGGGGGGCAAGGCACGGACUUUUGACGUUUUAAAGCGGCGGCUUUGCAGGCAGCGUGUCCGUGUACGGCCCGGUACAUUCAGGAACUUCCUGAAUUUAAUUUCUUU
Molecule: small RNA, 114 nt
Filed under: bovine gut metagenome
Description: RT-5 RNA
Rfam family: RT-5 RNA
About the family: Clostridium (Firmicutes).
Source: RNAcentral